CAAAGUUUAUUACGGAAGAAAAGAAUUACUAAUUCCGGCAGGAUAGUACAAGACCAGGCCUAUCUGGGAAAUAGAAGAAUUGUUAAGAAAAAGAUUCCUUCAAUCAAGAAACAGUGCAAUAGAACAAGCCAUGAAGGGACAUCACAGAAAAGAAACAUUUCUCUGAGGUUCUUUUUCCAAAAUAAAAACAAUACCUCACUGCAGAAAGAAUGGGAAAAAGAUUGUAAGAUUCUCUCAGUGUAAAUGAGCAAACAUGGAGUCUUGCAGAGUUGAGGAAAAAAGAACUGUCUGUCUGUAGACAGUUUCAUGGAAAAUUCUGAGUUUCAGUGUCAAACCAGUUGUUGAUAAAGAGGAGAUAGGAGUGGAAUCUGAAAGAUGCAAUGAAAUGUUUUAGCAGUCAGGUUCCAGUCUCUUGGCAAGGGCACAAGCACAAAACCAGCAAGUCUCAACGGGUUAAAUUAAAGGCUGUGCACGCUGAGACAACUUUCUCUGCUGGCAGAAGACCUCUGUGUCCCACACCUUGCCCAUCAGGGCAUUUGAAGGAUUUAGGAAUCAGAAGACUCAAUGAAAUGCAACAUAGUACUCCAAAGAG
Melospiza melodia melodia is the source of this 592-nucleotide long non-coding RNA. RefSeq lists it as uncharacterized. NCBI's taxonomy places the organism in Eukaryota, Metazoa, Chordata, Aves, Passeriformes, Passerellidae. The transcript is spliced from 4 exons. The record is from RefSeq and is a predicted model, not a curated record.